CCCUAGUGACUUGCCUAUAAAGGCAUAAUGACUUGCAGCUUAAGACUUAGAGGGAAAAGGAACAAAAAAAAGACUCAGAAAAGGGAACGAAAAAAAAAGAAAGAUCAUUGUUCCAUUGAGCUCCCUUCUGAUUUUGUUUGGGUUUCAACUUGAUGAAACAAUCUGGGCUUCAGUAAUUGUAUGAAAUGGCUUAAACCUGUUUUUUUUGGAGUCUAAGUAUUGACUUCUGGUUCAAGGGAAUUGUUUCAUUGAUGUUCAAAUUGAUUUUACUGGGUAUUUGGUUGAAUCUGGGUGUUUUCUUGCUGCUGUUGAGCUUACUAUUUCGAUUUACGGCUGUUGUUGUCUUCUAAGCUCAUAAUUUUUCAUUAUUAUUGUCGUAUUCAGGUACACACUCCUAUUUUCAUUAAAUGUAAGCUUUUGGCAUGGAAUCCAAAUGAGAUAUGGAGUUUCAAGUCUUGGUUGUGACUGUGUAGUUUAUCGAACUAUUCCUAUUUUGUUAGAAUGCUAUGCUUCUUAUUUC
RNAcentral lists this long non-coding RNA (520 nucleotides) under Nicotiana benthamiana. RNAcentral's name for it is "long non-coding RNA (NBEN_LNC016325)". Lineage: Eukaryota; Viridiplantae; Streptophyta; Magnoliopsida; Solanales; Solanaceae. The record is from RNAcentral.